GGCGCUGUAGAACAGUGGUUAGUUCGGCGGGCUCUCAAUCCGCAGACCGGGGUUCGAUCCCCCGCAGCGCUACCA
Molecule: transfer RNA, 75 nt
Filed under: bacterium
Lineage: Bacteria
Also listed under: 3 other names
Description: tRNA-Glu
Rfam family: tRNA
About the family: Transfer RNA (tRNA) molecules are approximately 80 nucleotides in length. Their secondary structure includes four short double-helical elements and three loops (D, anti-codon, and T loops).
Source: RNAcentral